CGUGCCUAAUACAUGCAAGUCGUACGAGGGAAGUCCAGCUUGCUGGACGGAACGAGUGGCGAACGGGUGAGUAAUACGUAAGCAACCUGCCUGCAAGGACUGGGAAUAACACCUGGAAACGGGCGCUAAUACCGGAUAGGUAACAAAGGGGCAUCCCUAUGUUAUUAAAGGUUAGAAACACAAGCAGAUGGGCUUACGGUGCAUUAGCUAGUUGGUGAGGUAACGGCCCACCAAGGCGAUGAUGCAUAGCCGGCCUGAGAGGUGAACGGCCACAUUGGGACUGAGACACGGCCCAGACUCCUACGGGAGGCAGCAGUAGGGAAUUUUCGGCAAUGGACGAAAGUCUGACCGAGCAACGCCGCCGUGAGUGAAGAAGGUUUUCGGAUUGUAAAGCUCUGUUGUAAGGGAAGAACAGCACGGAAAGAAUCCGUGAAUGACGGUACCUUACCAGAAAGCCACGGCUAACUACGUGCCAGCCGCCGC
Molecule: ribosomal RNA, 483 nt
Filed under: uncultured bacterium
Lineage: Bacteria
Description: bacterial SSU rRNA
Rfam family: Bacterial small subunit ribosomal RNA
Source: RNAcentral